AUACGGAGGGUCCAAGCGUUAUCCGGAAUCAUUGGGUUUAAAGGGUGCGCAGGCGGAUAAUUAAGUCAGUGGUGAAAUCCUCCCGCUCAACGGGAGAACUGCCAUUGAUACUGAUAAUCUGGAAUACGGUUGAAGUGGGCGGAAUGUAGCAUGUAGCGGUGAAAUGCAUAGAGAUGCUACAGAACACCGAUCGCGAAGGCAGCUCACUAAGCCGGUAUUGACGCUCAGGCACGAAAGCGUGGGUAGCGAACAGGAUUAGAAACCCUUGUAGUCC
Molecule: ribosomal RNA, 274 nt
Filed under: uncultured bacterium
Lineage: Bacteria
Description: partial 16S ribosomal RNA
Rfam family: Bacterial small subunit ribosomal RNA
Source: RNAcentral